AAGAGCAGAGGUAUAUGAAAAGACCAAGAUAGAUAUGAGAGAACAGCAAAAAAAGAAUUGAUGGAGAAGAACAAAGAUGAGGACGAAGAUGGAAAGAACUAGGUAGAAUGAUGAGAGACCAGCAGAAGGGAUUGAGAGCAGGAUGGACUGAGAGGAGCUAAGGAAGAGAGCAGAAAAGAAACUGUGUAGAUAGAACUGACUUAGAAGUAUUAAGUGAAUGGACUAACAAGCUCAGUGUGCUUA
This is a non-coding RNA of Peromyscus maniculatus bairdii (prairie deer mouse), 243 nucleotides long. Lineage: Eukaryota; Metazoa; Chordata; Mammalia; Rodentia; Cricetidae. The record is from RefSeq and is a predicted model, not a curated record.